This 494-nucleotide ribosomal RNA is filed under the name uncultured bacterium. RNAcentral's name for it is "partial 16S ribosomal RNA". It matches the Rfam family "Bacterial small subunit ribosomal RNA", at positions 28 to 507 of the family's 1533-position model. The record is from RNAcentral.
GACGAACGCUGGCGGCGCGCUUAACACAUGCAAGUCGAACGGAAAGGCCUGCUUUCCCUUGUGGCUUGCGGGUACUCGAGUGGCGAACGGGUGAGUAACACGUGAGUGAUCUGCCCCCAACUUGGGUAUAAGCCUGGGAAACUGGGUCUAAUUCCCGAUAGGACUGCAGGGUGGUGCCUGUGGUGGAACACGAUGUUCUAGUGGUUGGGGAUGAGCUCGCGGCCUUUCAGCUUGUUGGUGGGGUAAUGGCCUCCCACGGCGGCGACGGGUAGCCGGCCGGAGAAGGCAGAGGGUGUCUGGGAGGUUGGUCAACGACCCUAGCACUAACGGGAGGCAGAGUUGGGGAAUAGUGGACAAUGUGGGGAAGCUUGAUGAAGCGGCGCAGCGUGGAGGAUGCCGGGCUUCGGGUUGUAUACUGCUUUUGACGGUGAGGAGGCCAUUUAGUUGGAAGGGUGGUGACGGUAGUGGUAGAAGAAGCACCGGCUAACUACGUG